RNAcentral lists this ribosomal RNA (454 nucleotides) under Amietia vandijki (Van Dijk's river frog). RNAcentral describes it as "partial 16S ribosomal RNA". It matches the Rfam family "Bacterial large subunit ribosomal RNA", at positions 1923 to 2543 of the family's 2925-position model. The record is from RNAcentral. Lineage: Eukaryota; Metazoa; Chordata; Amphibia; Anura; Pyxicephalidae.
UUUAACGGCCGCGGUACCCUAACCGUGCGAAGGUAGCAUAAUCACUUGUUCUUUAAAUAGGGACUAGUAUCAACGGCAUCACGAGGGUUACACUGUCUCCUUUCUCCAAUCAGUGAAACUGAUCUCCCCGUGAAGAAGCGGGGAUAAGACUAUUAGACGAGAAGACCCCAUGGAGCUUUAAGCUUAACAACACCUCCAAUUAUGAAUAAUUCUAUAUAACCUACGAGUCCUGUUUGUUAGCUUUAGGUUGGGGUGACCGCGGAGUAUAAUAAAACCUCCACGACAAACGGGUUUUAACCCUAAUCCAAGAGCCACAGCUCUAAGAAUCAUUAAUUUGAUGUUUAAUGAUCCGAUCUUCGAUCAACGGACCAAGUUACCCUGGGGAUAACAGCGCAAUCCAUUUCUAGAGCUCCUAUCGACAAAUGGGUUUACGACCUCGAUGUUGGAUCAGGGU